GAAAUGCGAUAAGUAAUGUGAAUUGCAGAAUUCAGUGGAUCAUCGAAUCUUUGAACGCACAUUGCGCCCGCCAGUAUUCUGGCGGGCAUGCCUGUCCGAGCGUCAUUUCAACCAUCAAGCCCCCGGGCUUGUGUUGGGGACCUGCGGCUGCCCGCAGGCCCUGAAAACCAGUGGCGGGCUCGCUGUCACACCGAGCGUAGUAGCAAUCACCUCGCUCAGGGCGUGCUGCGGGUUCCGGCCGUUAAACAGCCUUACAAAACCCAAGGUUGACCUCGGAUCAGGUAGGAAGACCCGCUGAACUUAAGC
This 306-nucleotide unclassified non-coding RNA is filed under the name plant metagenome. RNAcentral describes it as "partial contains 5.8S ribosomal RNA, internal transcribed spacer 2, and large subunit ribosomal RNA". The stretch from base 1 to 105 matches the Rfam family "5.8S ribosomal RNA", at positions 50 to 154 of the family's 154-position model. The record is from RNAcentral.